This 308-nucleotide ribosomal RNA is filed under the name Helicopsyche vazquezae. RNAcentral's name for it is "partial 28S large subunit ribosomal RNA". It matches the Rfam family "Eukaryotic large subunit ribosomal RNA", at positions 72 to 344 of the family's 3401-position model. The record is from RNAcentral. Lineage: Eukaryota; Metazoa; Arthropoda; Insecta; Trichoptera; Helicopsychidae.
GGAUUCCCSGAGUAGCGGCGAGCGAAACGGGAAGAGCCCAGCGCUGAAUCCUGCCGCCCUGGCGGGCGGCCGGGAAAUGUAGCGUUCGGUAGGAGAGUUAUAAUCAUAAACGCGCGGUCAGUAGUCACGGCUGCCGGUCCAAGUUCAUCUUGAACGGGGCCGCUUACCCGCAGAGGGUGCCAGGCCCGUGGCGACGGUAGCCGGCCGCGACGGUCUCCCUACCAAGAGUCGGGUUGCUUGAGAGUGCAGCCCUAAGCGGGUGGUAAACUCCAUCUAAGGCUAAAUACCACCACGGGACCGAUAGCGAA